Molecule: non-coding RNA, 199 nt
Filed under: Clostridium tyrobutyricum
Lineage: Bacteria; Bacillati; Bacillota; Clostridia; Eubacteriales; Clostridiaceae
Description: T-box sequence
Rfam family: T-box leader
About the family: Uncharged tRNA acts as the effector for transcription antitermination of genes in the T-box leader family. T-boxes are found upstream of many aminoacyl-tRNA synthetase genes and some amino acid biosynthetic genes usually in Gram-positive bacteria.
Source: RNAcentral
UAAAAAACAUUGAUAGGGAAGAGUAGAUAGUGACUAUUUUUUAGAGAAUGAGGAUUUUGGUGAAAUCUCAUAAUAUAGCUAUUGAAGGUAGCCCUGGAGUUAUGAGCUGAACUUUGAGUAGGCUUUAUCGGUAGAAACCGUUAUUACUUUAAGUAAAAAAAUUGGGUGGUACCGCGCGACCAGACUUCUCGCCCCAAAG